RNAcentral lists this ribosomal RNA (426 nucleotides) under uncultured bacterium. RNAcentral describes it as "bacterial SSU rRNA". It matches the Rfam family "Bacterial small subunit ribosomal RNA", at positions 359 to 776 of the family's 1533-position model. The record is from RNAcentral.
GAAUUUUGGACAAUGGGGGAAACCCUGAUCCAGCGACGCCGCGUGGGUGAUGAAGGCCUUCGGGUCGUAAAGCCCUGUCUGGGGGGAAGAAUACUCUGCGGGGAAAUACUCCGUGGAGUUUACGGUACCCCAGAAGGAAGCACCGGCUAACGCCGUGCCAGCAGCCGCGGUAAGACGGAGGGUGCAAGCGUUGUUCGGAAUUACUGGGCGUAAAGGGCGCGUAGGCGGCCUGUUAAGUGCGGUGUGAAAGCCCCCGGCUCACCCGGGGAACUGCGCCGUAUACUGGCAGACUAGAGUACCGGAGAGGAGGGUGGAAUUCCUGGUGUAGCGGUGAAAUGCGUAGAUAUCAGGAGGAACACCGGUGGCGAAGGCGGCCCUCUGGACGGAUACUGACGCUGAGGCGCGAAAGCGUGGGGAUCAAACAGG